UCUCCGUUGGUGAACCAGCGGAGGGAUCAUUACAGGACUCGCAAGACUCCUACACCCCUGUGAACUUAACUCUAGGCGCGUUGAUUCGGCGGGUGUCUCGGAGGGGGUUCUCCGUCCCCGAGAGGCUAAACCCGCCGGCAGCCCACUCUACUCUGUCUCUUUGCGUUGGCAUCUCGCGUACAAUCAAACAAGUUAAAACUUUCAACAACGGAUCUCUUGGUUCUG
RNAcentral lists this unclassified non-coding RNA (225 nucleotides) under plant metagenome. Its description in RNAcentral is "partial contains small subunit ribosomal RNA, internal transcribed spacer 1, and 5.8S ribosomal RNA". The record is from RNAcentral.